Non-coding RNA from Cyanistes caeruleus (blue tit), 305 nucleotides. The record is from RefSeq and is a predicted model, not a curated record. Lineage: Eukaryota; Metazoa; Chordata; Aves; Passeriformes; Paridae.
UUUGGAGCAAAGAGCACACAUUUAGCCCAAAACAGCAGUGCUGGAAUUCAGCUCUGUCUGCACAGAUAUAAAGAGGUGCCUUUUAAAGACCAUUAUCUCAUAAUUUUCUAAAAUUAUUUUCCAAAGGAUUCAUUUUACUGGUGAUAUGCAGUAUAAGGCAAGGACACAUGAAGGCUCAUCAUAAUUAUUCCUACCAAAUCUGUGAAACUUCCUGAGGAAGAAGUGUAAAGCAAGAGAUGACCCCAAUCCACCUACCUUCAUGCCCUCUUGAAAAUGCUACCCAAAUGCAGGACAAGCUGGAGGUC